RNAcentral lists this unclassified non-coding RNA (307 nucleotides) under plant metagenome. Its description in RNAcentral is "partial contains 5.8S ribosomal RNA, internal transcribed spacer 2, and large subunit ribosomal RNA". The stretch from base 1 to 105 matches the Rfam family "5.8S ribosomal RNA", at positions 50 to 154 of the family's 154-position model. The record is from RNAcentral.
GAAAUGCGAUAAGUAGUGUGAAUUGCAGAAUUCAGUGAAUCAUCGAAUCUUUGAACGCACAUUGCGCCCCUCGGCAUUCCGUGGGGCAUGCCUGUUCGAGCGUCAUCUACACCCUCAAGCUCUGCUUGGUGUUGGGCGUCUGUCCCGCCUCCGCGCGCGGACUCGCCCCAAAUGCAUUGGCAGCGGUUCCUUGCCCCCCUCUUUGCGCAGCACACUGCCAUUCGAGGCGGCGGCGGCCCGCGUCCAACAAGCUCAACCCCCCCGUCUUUGACCUCGGAUCAGGUAGGGAUACCCGCUGAACUUAAGC